Molecule: ribosomal RNA, 425 nt
Filed under: uncultured prokaryote
Description: bacterial SSU rRNA
Rfam family: Bacterial small subunit ribosomal RNA
Source: RNAcentral
UGGGGAAUAUUGGACAAUGGGGGCAACCCUGAUCCAGCCAUGCCGCGUGCGUGAAGAAGGCCUUAGGGUUGUAAAGCGCUUUCAGCGGGGACGAUGAUGACGGUACCCGCAGAAGAAGCCCCGGCUAACUCCGUGCCAGCAGCCGCGGUAAGACGGAGGGCGCAAGCGUUGUUCGGAAUUACUGGGCGUAAAGCGCGGGCAGGUGGUUCGUUAAGUCGUCUGUGAAAAUCCGGGGCUCAACCCCGUGAAAUGCAGGCGAUACUGGCGGACUGGAGAUCGGUAGAGGCUAGCGGAGUUCCUGGUGUAGCGGUGGAAUGCGUAGAUAUCAGGAAGAACACCCGUGGCGAAGGCGGCUAGCUGGGCCGAGUCUGACACUCAUCCGCGAAAGCGUGGGGAGCAAACAGGAUUAGAUACCCCCGUAGUCC